UACGUAGGGUGCAAGCGUUAAUCGGAAUUACUGGGCGUAAAGCGUGCGCAGGCGGUUUUGUAAGACAGGUGUGAAAUCCCCGGGCUUAACCUGGGAACUGCAUUUGUGACUGCAUCGCUGGAGUGCGGCAGAGGGGGAUGGAAUUCCGCGUGUAGCAGUGAAAUGCGUAGAUAUGCGGAGGAACACCGAUGGCGAAGGCAGCUUACUACAGGAUGAUUGACGCUGAGGCACGAAAGCGUGGGGAGCAAACAGG
RNAcentral lists this ribosomal RNA (253 nucleotides) under uncultured bacterium. Its description in RNAcentral is "partial 16S ribosomal RNA". It matches the Rfam family "Bacterial small subunit ribosomal RNA", at positions 524 to 776 of the family's 1533-position model. The record is from RNAcentral.